CGGGUGUCUCCUUGCAGUGCGCCGGGCCGGCGAGUUUCGCCCUGGGGAGAGGCACCCCCGCGGAGCCCGGGGAGGGCGGCGCGGAGCUCCGGGCGCCGGGGUCCCGGCCGGGGGGACCGAGCGGUGGGCCAGGUCCGGGCGGAGGCUCCAGCACCCUCGGCUCGCGGGGGCGGGGAGAAGGGAGGGGAAGGAGCGGCGGUGGGAGGCUCCGACCCCGGGGCAGAGGCGCCUAGCAGGAAACUUCGUAGUGAAAUCGAAAGAUUCUAAAAAGGAAAAACACAAGCCCUACCAGUCUCCUGCCACCCGCGUCUCUCCCGCGGCGCGCAGACUCGGCGCUCCGGGAUCCUUGCUGUGCGCAGCGCCCCCCAAGUCUGCGGGCCGGGGGCACCAGGGCAGAUGCCUCGGUUUGGGCCCUGCGCCCAGAGAGAAAAUCCCGGCAGCUGCGAGGAGUCCGCCCCCCCACACCCCCGCACAUGGCUGUCCCUGCGUCCCACCGAGCACCGCGUCCUGGCCUGGGCCCGGUGCAAGGCGGACAGGUCUGUGCUCAGAGCCCAGAGCACCUUGGGGGGCGACUCUGGCACCUUCAGUAACCUCCUACCUCUUCCCCACCCCAACACAAAAGUCAAGUCUGAGGGGGAUGCUGACUUCGUCUCUGGAGACGAGGCGAUCCUGGGUCUGCACAGGUUUGGAGAGGCACCACCGGGGGCACUCCAGCCCCCUUCCCUCGGAGCCGCUUGAGGGUGCUUUGUGGUGGACUAGAGGCUUUUUGAUGAACUCUGUUCCCAAGUCCCACGGCGGCUCUGGGGCCGCGACUCCGAGAGCUUGGGGCCCCGGAGGGCACUUGGGCACCGGGCCAGCGCCCGCCAGGCGGACUGCGAGUGCCGGGGUCUGGAGCGCAGCAGGGAGCCGUGGGCAGCGCCCCGACGCCUAAGCAGAGCUCCUCAGGAUCUCUUUAAACUUUCCGCUGCCUUUCGAAUCCCAGCAGGCCCUCGGCCCUUGUGAAGGCAGGAAAAACAUGACUUGCUGCAAAGCCGAGACUCAAAAGUCCAAAAGUCGGAAAUCCAAGAUGGACACAGUGGUUCCAUGAUGCCAGUGGAGAAAUGGACUCGUUGUCUCUUUCAACCCAGCCAUCCUUGGCAAGGUCUUGUCACCUGGGGAGUCACAGCAUGGCCGCUUUGCUUCCCGCAGCACGACUGUGUCUGAUUCAGGAAUAAAUGGAAAAGCAAAAGAGACAAUGUGUGUACCAAUUACGUCUGCUCUCUCAUCCCCCUGCGCAAACAUCCGCUUAUUUUAAGGAGCUUUCUUGGAAGUCUCAGCCAAAAACUUCGUCUUUUUUCUCAGUGGCCAGAACUAGGUCGGAUGACAACUUCUAUCAAGGAAUUCAGCAGGAUUUGUUUAACUUUUCCCCCAAACUGGCGUUCUGUAGACAGGAGUAAGAGAAUAGACAUUGAGAAGAAACUAGCAGGCCUUCACAGCUGGCAAACGAUAAUGACGGUGAUCAUCAUAAUUCCCAUUUAUUGAUCAUGUGCUGUAUGCCAGGCUUGUGAGCUUUGCACAUUUCAUCUUGUUUAGUCUUCGCUGCAAUUCCGAGAGUUAACACCCAUUUAAAGAUGAGGAAAUUGGGACUUAUGAAGGUGGAGUGACAUGUUGAAGGUCGUACAGUGGUGGAACAAGAACUUGAGUUCAGAUCUAUCCAACUCCCAGGGUUGCCUGGUACUGUCCUGGUUCUAGCACUGCUAGGCUCGUGUCCCGGGACACAAGUCAGUCCUGGAACAGUGGGGUCACCUGCUGAAGCUCAAACAGUACUAGGGCAUUAGUAGAAGUUCAGUUAAACUUUGUUGAAUGGUUAAUUUAAUAAAUAUUGUUUAUUGUUUUUCAUAAAUGUUAAAGACUUGCAAUAUAUCAAGAAUACAAUCCUUUAUAUUAUAUAUUUUUUUCUUUUGCCUUGUAGUUUUUAUGACUCCUUUUGAUACAGAUAUUUUAAAGUUUGUGUCAAAUCUAUCUGUUUGCUUUUAUGGUUUCUUCCUUUGCUUUUAUGUUUAAAUAUUCUUCCCUAUCCUACCAAGCAAAAAUUAUAUCUUCUUCUGGUUCUUUUAUAGUUUGCUUUGUAAUUCAAAGUAAAAUGAAGAUAUGCAGGAAUGGGAAAGGCUUUCAUUCACAUGUUUCAUUUCCCAGGUUUGGGUGAGUGUUUCAGAACUGUAAGCUUAUAGGUUUGAAAUGUUCAUCUCAGGAACUGAUUUAAAAUCCAUAACUUAAGGGAAUGAAAACUCUUUCCAGUGCGUUCCCAAUGUGCAGCGCACAUGUAUCUGAUCUGCAAUCAGCAAUCAUGUCAAAAUGUGUCAGCUCAUUUCAUAUUCUUUUUAACUAUCCUUUGAUUAAGGGAGCACUGUAUCAACUGAUGUGAGCCUGCAGUCAAACCUACCUUCAAAUUAUUAGCACCUGGUAAGAAAUGUCCUUCCCAUUCUAAACACCAGUUCAUCAUGUCUUAUUUGUAAUUCACUUGAUGAUUUUGAUAUAUCAUUAUAAAUACUAUAUGUGACUAAGUCUUCACACUGAAGCUUUGUUCUUGUAAAUAUGGCAGAAAAUGUGAAUUGCGUACUCUGUCCCUGAUACAGAUGCGUGGAUCAAGAUCAAGCAGGUGUGCUAUUAGGUUGAGAUGAUAAAUCACCAGCCCGAAAUGUCUUUAUGUUGGGAAACUAGAUGUCAUUAAUGUUCAUCUUGCACCAUUGGCUCUAACUCCGUUUUCUAAACAAUGGAAGGGAAAAAUAUUUGUGAAUUCGCUGUUACUGACAAGUAAUUAUUAGAAAUUAUUUUAUUAGAAAACAAAAUUAAUGUUCUAGUCCAGGCAUGGGUAAACUUUUUGUAAAGAGCCAGAUGGUAGAUAUUUUAGGUUUUGCUGGCCAUAAGAUCUCUAUUGCAACUACUCAACCCUGCCUCUGCAGAAGUCACAAACAGUGAUAAACCAAUGGGCGCGGCUGUGUUCCAAUCAAGCUUUAUUUAUGAAAGCAAUUGAUCUGCGUGAUUUGGCUCAUGGCCUGUAGUUUCCUAACUGCAAGAAUUCAUUCUUCACAAGUGAGUUUUCUUAUUCGAAAGGUGGGAAUCAGUUGCUAUCCUGGAAAACAUUAAACAAGUACUCCUAUCAUUGGUACUUUAAGACUUCAACUUCAAUGUCUUAAGCUUAAGUUGGAAAGCCCUUUGAAAAUUCUUUGAAGAGAAGGAUCAAGAUGUAAACAUGGAAUUGUUUGUUAGGAUAGGUUAUAUCAAUCUCAAACAAAAGGUUAGUGUCUCAAAGCUUCUUUUAUAUUAGUGGCUCAUAAGUUUCUUCCUAAACAGAUAUUUCUAUCUUCUGCCAGAGAGCUGGACAUACGUCUUAAUUCCAGUGGGGUCCAGGCUUAGAGCAAGGGCAGCAUAUGGGUACCAUACAUUUGUUAGAGUUCAUCUCUAUGUAAUCACAAAAAUUAAAUACCUCCAGAGCUCUAAAUUACAAAUUUGGACGAUCUGCUUUAAGGCACAGAAUUUCCACAUGAUAAAGGCAGCAAAUGCUAGAUUCAUCCUCAGUAGCAUUGCUUCAUGCUUUAGUAAAUCAGGGUGGCUGACUGAAACUUUUGCUUCUGUUUUGAUAAAUUCUCUCAUGGUGCAGACUAUAACCUGUUUGUCAAUCCCUGAUUGGACGCCAUUAAUCACAUUUCAGAGCUAAAUAUAAUUUAGGAGUGGUAGCUUAUAGAUAUAUAUAUGUCAAAAUAUAUGUAUAUUUUCAGGGGAUAAGUAAUAUAUAGAGUUUUUUUUUAUAUCCAUCUCUUACGGACUACCCAAUAGCCGUGAAUAUUUGUUCUUGCAAAAUUUGAAUUCCCUGAUAGUGCUUAAAGAAGGUUGGAUUUCAUACUUUGGAAAACUUCCCAAUCUGUGAUGGGGCUUUUGUUGUUGUUGUUCUUGUGUUCUGUUUGUUUUUAUACUCUUGGUAGGCACUUUGUUAUUCUUUGGUUGUUGGCUUAUUUUUGGAGACAACCCCAAAGAAACUGGAGAUAACAUAUAACGAAUACGGUGGAUGUUCAAGUCAGGGAUGGUGUCUUUGUUCAAAAAUAAGGUGUCAUGUUAAAAUAACAAGACUGAUUUUUUGUUAAGUCUUAUAAUGUAGCUUUAAAGGAUUUUUCAAAUGUUUUAAGCAGUGGAAGUAUUGAAAUAUAUAUUACCUCCUAAGAUUCACUUUUGAAGGACAACUUUUAUUUGGUCAUAGAAGCUAAGAUUUGUUUUAAAAGUCUCAUUACUCUAUACUCAUACCUUGUAAAAAUAUGUCUCCUAUUGUCCCUUAGAAAGAUAAUUUGGACAAAUAUAGGAAACUGUUAACAGGUUUGUAAUUUGCGUCUGUUUCAAGAAAUCUAUGGAUGCUUUGCUGCUAAUUUCCCAAACUCUCACCAGCCCAACAUGAUGAGAUUUGCCAAUGGGAGUUUUCCUCUUGAGUAUCUGUAACUUCUACUGUCCUUUGUGAGUGGUAUCCUGAAGGUGACCAGAAGAAGGAGCAAGAAAAGUAAUUCUUGAUUCCUCUCAUGAUGAAACCAAGUGUUGGAAGAGAGCAAGCUGGGGACCCCAAGGGAGAAAAGAGGCGUAGUCAGGAAAGAGAGAGGAGGUAUUCAAAGAACCAAUAUGAGGGAUUAUUUUAAUCUGAAGUAGAUUUAAUUUGAGGAAGAUGAAGUCUGUAUCAACAAAGAAAUAGCAAUGAUGAGUAAAUUUGAACUGAGACUUUGGACCACGUCUUUCUUUGAUUUGUUUCUCUCUCUUAAAAUGCAUAUGUGCCAUCUCCAUCCCCCCCAAAUACAAAACUUUAUUGUUAAUUUUCUAAUUGCAAAAGAAAUAUCUACUUAAUGAAGAACACUUUGAAAACAAAGAAGUAAAAUGAUAAAAUUACUCAUCAUUGAUCACAUGGAGAUAUUGAUGGUAAAACUUAAAUGUGUGUGUUCCCCAGUUAUCUCUUUUUUCCUCCCCUUCUCUUUUCUCCUCCCCUUCUCUUUGAUCCUUUCUUUUAAAAUUUCUAUUAAUUUCUUGUUUUUACAAAAAGAGGAUCUAUAGCAUCAAAUAUGAUGUUUCAUAAAUUUCCUUGUUAUAUAGCAAUAUUUCUAAAUAUCUGACUAUAUCUCUUUGUCAAUGUGCAUUUUCAACUAGCUCUAUUUUUCCAGUUGUAAAAGCAAUACAUAUUUACUGAAAAAUGAUUUAGAAAUUAUAUAAGAACAAAGGUAAAAAUAAAUUUUAAUACUACUGCCAAAA
Molecule: long non-coding RNA, 5259 nt
Organism: Equus asinus (donkey)
Lineage: Eukaryota; Metazoa; Chordata; Mammalia; Perissodactyla; Equidae
Source: Ensembl